RNAcentral lists this transfer RNA (54 nucleotides) under Steinernema litorale. Its description in RNAcentral is "tRNA-Ala". Lineage: Eukaryota; Metazoa; Nematoda; Chromadorea; Rhabditida; Steinernematidae. The record is from RNAcentral.
AGGGUUUUAGUUUAAUAAAAAUAUAAGUUUUGCAUACUUAAGAUUUAGGCUCUA